UAUUAUAUCUAAAAUAGCAUAAUGGUGCACUAAAUUUAGAAUUUAGUGGUGGUGUGAAAGCACUU
RNAcentral lists this transfer RNA (65 nucleotides) under Gordius sp. VVA-2019. Its description in RNAcentral is "tRNA-Leu". The record is from RNAcentral. Lineage: Eukaryota; Metazoa; Nematomorpha; Gordioida; Gordea; Gordiidae.